This 1490-nucleotide ribosomal RNA is filed under the name Propionibacterium sp. 215(113zx). RNAcentral's name for it is "bacterial SSU rRNA". It matches the Rfam family "Bacterial small subunit ribosomal RNA". Lineage: Bacteria; Bacillati; Actinomycetota; Actinomycetes; Propionibacteriales; Propionibacteriaceae. The record is from RNAcentral.
UUAGAGUUUGAUCCUGGCUCAGGACGAACGCUGGCGGCGUGCUUAACACAUGCAAGUCGAACGGAAAGGCCCUGCUUUUGUGGGGUGCUCGAGUGGCGAACGGGUGAGUAACACGUGAGUAACCUGCCCUUGACUUUGGGAUAACUUCAGGAAACUGGGGCUAAUACCGGAUAGGAGCUCCUGCUGCAUGGUGGGGGUUGGAAAGUUUCGGCGGUUGGGGAUGGACUCGCGGCUUAUCAGCUUGUUGGUGGGGUAGUGGCUUACCAAGGCUUUGACGGGUAGCCGGCCUGAGAGGGUGACCGGCCACAUUGGGACUGAGAUACGGCCCAGACUCCUACGGGAGGCAGCAGUGGGGAAUAUUGCACAAUGGGCGGAAGCCUGAUGCAGCAACGCCGCGUGCGGGAUGACGGCCUUCGGGUUGUAAACCGCUUUCGCCUGUGACGAAGCGUGAGUGACGGUAAUGGGUAAAGAAGCACCGGCUAACUACGUGCCAGCAGCCGCGGUGAUACGUAGGGUGCGAGCGUUGUCCGGAUUUAUUGGGCGUAAAGGGCUCGUAGGUGGUUGAUCGCGUCGGAAGUGUAAUCUUGGGGCUUAACCCUGAGCGUGCUUUCGAUACGGGUUGACUUGAGGAAGGUAGGGGAGAAUGGAAUUCCUGGUGGAGCGGUGGAAUGCGCAGAUAUCAGGAGGAACACCAGUGGCGAAGGCGGUUCUCUGGGCCUUUCCUGACGCUGAGGAGCGAAAGCGUGGGGAGCGAACAGGCUUAGAUACCCUGGUAGUCCACGCUGUAAACGGUGGGUACUAGGUGUGGGGUCCAUUCCACGGGUUCCGUGCCGUAGCUAACGCUUUAAGUACCCCGCCUGGGGAGUACGGCCGCAAGGCUAAAACUCAAAGGAAUUGACGGGGCCCCGCACAAGCGGCGGAGCAUGCGGAUUAAUUCGAUGCAACGCGUAGAACCUUACCUGGGUUUGACAUGGAUCGGGAGUGCUCAGAGAUGGGUGUGCCUCUUUUGGGGUCGGUUCACAGGUGGUGCAUGGCUGUCGUCAGCUCGUGUCGUGAGAUGUUGGGUUAAGUCCCGCAACGAGCGCAACCCUUGUUCACUGUUGCCAGCACGUUAUGGUGGGGACUCAGUGGAGACCGCCGGGGUCAACUCGGAGGAAGGUGGGGAUGACGUCAAGUCAUCAUGCCCCUUAUGUCCAGGGCUUCACGCAUGCUACAAUGGCUGGUACAGAGAGUGGCGAGCCUGUGAGGGUGAGCGAAUCUCGGAAAGCCGGUCUCAGUUCGGAUUGGGGUCUGCAACUCGACCUCAUGAAGUCGGAGUCGCUAGUAAUCGCAGAUCAGCAACGCUGCGGUGAAUACGUUCCCGGGGCUUGUACACACCGCCCGUCAAGUCAUGAAAGUUGGUAACACCCGAAGCCGGUGGCCUAACCGUUGUGGGGGAGCCGUCGAAGGUGGGACUGGUGAUUAGGACUAAGUCGUAACAAGGUAGCCGU